RNAcentral lists this long non-coding RNA (405 nucleotides) under Nicotiana tabacum (common tobacco). Its description in RNAcentral is "long non-coding RNA (NTAB_LNC008174)". The record is from RNAcentral. Lineage: Eukaryota; Viridiplantae; Streptophyta; Magnoliopsida; Solanales; Solanaceae.
AAUGGGCCAUGUUUGUGCCUGAAUGGGAGUGGGCGAAGUGAAUCCCGCAACAUGAAUCUGGAAAAGAUGACACAUAAUGAAUAUCUAGAGAACAAAUGGUAAAAACAUCAACACACAGUUAAUAACUUCAAGCAGAAUACUGAAGCAAGUAGCAUGAAAACUAAUUUAAUCUUUAAAAAAGAAAAGGGCAAAGAUAGAAAAAUGAAGGAAAAUCCUAAAGAAACACAUGGGAUGCAGUUGCUUACUGAAGCAACUCCAGGCAACAAAAGGGAGCAACUAAAACAGAAGACCCGGAGCAAUAAGCUAGAAACCCAGUCAUCUAUUGGAAUUUGUCUGAAGGGCCAACUACCCUUCAAGAGCUACGCAAGAGAGGAUCCAAUUUCCAUUUUGCAGCCUCAAAAACUC